CGAUGACUAGCUGGUCUGAGAGGAUGAUCAGCCACACUGGCACUGGAACACGGGCCAGACUCCUAACGGGAGGCAGCAGUGGGGAAUAUUGCGCAAUGGGCGAAAGCCUGACGCAGCAACGCCGCGUGAGUGACGAAGGCCUUCGGGUCGUAAAGCUCUGUCGAGAGGGACGAAACACCGGUGGGAACAAUAACCUCGCCGGUUUGACGGUACCUCCAAAGGAAGCACCGGCUAACUCCGUGCCAGCAGCCGCGGUAAUACGGAGGGUGCAAGCGUUGUUCGGAAUUACUGGGCGUAAAGGGCGUGUAGGCGGAUCAAGAAGUCGGGUGUGAAAGCCCUGGGCUCAACCCAGGAAGUGCGCCCGAAACCAUUGGUCUUGAGUUCCAGAGGGGAGCGGGGAAUUCCCAGUGUAGAGGUGAAAUUCGUAGAUAUUGGGAAGAACACCGGUGCCGAAGGGGCCGCUCUGGAUGGAUACUGACGCUGAGGCGCGAAAGCGUGGGGAGCAAACAGGAUUAGAUACCCUGGUAGUCCACGCUGUAAACGAUGUGCACUAGGUGUCGGGGGUAUUGACCCCCCCGGUGCCGCCGCUAACGCAUUAAGUGCACCGCCUGGGAAGUACGGCCGCAAGGCUGAAACUCAAAGGAAUUGACGGGGGCCCGCACAAGCGGUGGAGUAUGUGGUUCAAUUCGACGCAACGCGCAGAACCUUACCUGGGCUUGACAUCUGGGGAAGUCCCUAGAGAUAGGGAUGUGCCCUUCGGGGAACCCCAUGACAGGUGCUGCAUGGCUGUCGUCAGCUCGUGUCGUGAGGUGUUGGGUUAAGUCCCGCAACGAGCGCAACCCCUGUUCUUAGUUGCCAUCGGUUCGGCCGGGCACUCUAAGGAGACUGCCGGUGUUAAACCGGAGGAAGGUGGGGAUGACGUCAAGUCCUCAUGGCCUUUAUGCCCAGGGCUACACACGUACUACAAUGGCCGGUACAAAGGGUCGCCAAGCCGCGAGGUGGAGCUAAUCCCAAAACGCCGGUCUCAGUUCGGAUUGGUCUCUGCAACUCGAGACCAUGAAGGUGGAAUCGCUAGUAAUCGCUGAUCAGCAUGCAGCGGUGAAUACGUUCCCGGGCCUUGUACACACCGCCCGUCACACCACGAAAGCUGUUUAUACCAGAAGUGCGUGACCCAACCUUCGGGAGGGAGCGCC
This 1193-nucleotide ribosomal RNA is filed under the name uncultured organism. RNAcentral describes it as "bacterial SSU rRNA". It matches the Rfam family "Bacterial small subunit ribosomal RNA", at positions 277 to 1456 of the family's 1533-position model. The record is from RNAcentral.